Long non-coding RNA from Astatotilapia calliptera (eastern happy), 688 nucleotides. NCBI's taxonomy places the organism in Eukaryota, Metazoa, Chordata, Actinopteri, Cichliformes, Cichlidae. The record is from Ensembl.
AGUUGCGCAAACAUGUCGCAACUUUGUCUCAGAUCUUAAACCUCAAGAAUCACGAGUUAGACCAAGUUGCCAACUUCCUAGGUCAUGAUAUUCGUGUUCAUCGCGAAUAUUAUAGACUUCCAGAGGCUACUACCCAGCUUGCCAAAAUAUCCAAACUACUGAUUGCCAUGGAGAAAGGGUCUCUCAAAAGCCUUCAAGGCAAAACACUUGAAGAGAUUGAAAUCGAAGAUAACCUACAGUUGACAGAUUCAAGUGAAGAAAGUGAGGUCGGAGCGGAGCGUGAGGAGGUCGGAGCGGAGCGUGAGGAGGUCGGAGCGGAGCGUGAGGAGGUCGGAGCGGAGCGUGAGGAGGUCGGAGCGGAGCGUGAGGUCAAUGAAGGAAAUCUUGUAUAUCCACAGAUUGAUUCUAUAGAUACUAGAAUGAUGAAGAAAGUUGUCAAGGAACCUCCAGCACAAAGUAAAAAUGGAGCGGGUAAGGUCAUUGAACCCAACAGAAUACUAAACAAGGAGAUGAAGCCAAGCAGUAAGAAGAAAACAAAUGAACAAUCUGCUUCUCUGGAAAAUGCAAGGAGGGUCAAAAAGCAUCCUUGGUCUCCCACGGAGGUUGCUGCGAUAAUGAAUUAUUUUGGCGAACAUAUCAAAAAAGGAAAACUGGCCACUAUUAUCGAAUGCCAGCAAUGCAAAACUGC